Molecule: long non-coding RNA, 613 nt
Organism: Onthophagus taurus
Lineage: Eukaryota; Metazoa; Arthropoda; Insecta; Coleoptera; Scarabaeidae
Source: RefSeq, a predicted model, not a curated record
UAGGAGUCGCUGCUGCUCCUGCUGCCGCUCGCCGUCGCCGUUCAGACAAGCAGCGAAUAACGCGCGACAGUCUUCUUCUGUUCGCUGCGAUGUAGACGCCACCUUCCUUCUUCACUCUCUUCGUGGAGACCUUUUUAUUAAGGCGCCCACUCAAAUCCAACAGACAAAGCGUGGGCGACCAUGGACAACUUGACAGACAGCUUAGAUCGAAGAUAACAAGAAGAAUCGUUAAGGUUGAGUCACACUUUGCAAAACCACCCACGAAAAAUAAAUAAGAAAUAAAAAAGAUGGAAAAAAUUAGGAUUAAUAAAAAUUUGUAUGAUUAAGGCUAAGUUAGGUGUAGAUUAAGGUUAAGUUAGGUGUGGAUUAAGGUUAAGUUAGUAAAAAUGAAGACUGAUUAGUUAAGAAAAUUAAUAAAAAAAAUUAUAAAUUUUGAUACGGUGCCAUAUAAAAUUUAAAAUCGAUUAAGUUAAGGUAGCUUUUAAGUUUUUGAAAUAGUAUCUAGAUUAAGUGAUUAAUUUGGUAGAUAAAGAAAAAGUCAAUCAUUUUUGACGUUUGAAUUUAAUGCGUGUCUCGAUAGAUAAGAAAAAAUGUUUUGAUGGACACAAAAUUU